AGUUAGCAAGGACCACCUUGCAAGCCUCUGACGGGGCUUCUGGCUGACCUAUAGUGAAGUAGUACCGUGAGGGAAGGGUGAAAAGAACCUCCAUCGGGGAGUGAAAUAGAAGAUGAAACCAUCAGUUUCCAAGUAGUGGGAGGAGACCAGGACUCUAACCGCGUACCUAUUGAAGAAUGAGCCGACGACUCAUAGACAGUGGCUUGGUUAAGGGAACCCACCGGAGCCAUAGCGAAAGCGAGUCAGAAUGGGGCAAUUCUCACUGCUUAUGGACCCAAACCUUUCUUCUUCAGGAUGCAGCUUGGGUGAAACUAAGUGGAGGUCCGAACUGUCUGAUGUUGAAGAAUCGGCGGAU
RNAcentral lists this non-coding RNA (355 nucleotides) under Cucumis melo (muskmelon). RNAcentral describes it as "Bacterial large subunit ribosomal RNA". It matches the Rfam family "Bacterial large subunit ribosomal RNA", at positions 440 to 805 of the family's 2925-position model. The record is from Rfam by way of RNAcentral. Lineage: Eukaryota; Viridiplantae; Streptophyta; Magnoliopsida; Cucurbitales; Cucurbitaceae.